Molecule: ribosomal RNA, 254 nt
Filed under: uncultured bacterium
Lineage: Bacteria
Description: partial 16S ribosomal RNA
Rfam family: Bacterial small subunit ribosomal RNA
Source: RNAcentral
GACGUAGGGCGCGAGCGUUGUCCGGAUUUAUUGGGCGUAAAGAGCUCGUAGGCGGCUUGUCGCGUCGAAUGUGAAAACUCCGGGGCUCAACUCCGAGCUUGCAUUCGAUACGGGCAGGCUAGAGUCCGGAAGAGGAGAGUGGAAUUCCUGGUGUAGCGGUGAAAUGCGCAGAUAUCAGGAAGAACACCCGUGGCUAAGGCGGCUCUCUAGUACGGUACUGACGCUGAGACGCGAAAGCGUGGGGAGCGAACAGG